GACGAACGCUGGCGGCGUGCUUAACACAUGCAAGUCGAACGGAAAGGCCCUGCUUUUGUUGGGUGCUCGAGUGGCGAACGGGUGAGUAACACGUGAGUAACCUGCCCUUUACUUUGUGAUAACUUCAGGAAACUGUGGCUACUACCUGCUAGGAGCUCCUGCUGCAUGGGGGGGGUUGGACAGUUUCGGCGGUUGGGGAUGGACUCGCGGCUUAUCAGCUUGUUGGUGGGGUAGUGGCUUACCAAGGCAUUGACGGGUAGCCGGCCUGAGCGGGUGACCGACGACAUUGGGACUGAGGUACGGCACAGGCUGGUAAGGGAGGCAGCAGUGGGGAAUAUUGCACAAGGGGCGGAGGGCUGAUGAAGAAACGCUGCGUGCUGGAUGACGGCUUUCGGGUUGAAAACCGCUUUCGCCUGAAACGAAGCGUGAGUGACGGUAAUGGGUAGAGAAGCACCGGCUAACUACGUG
This 468-nucleotide ribosomal RNA is filed under the name uncultured bacterium. RNAcentral describes it as "partial 16S ribosomal RNA". It matches the Rfam family "Bacterial small subunit ribosomal RNA", at positions 28 to 507 of the family's 1533-position model. The record is from RNAcentral.